AGGAUGAACGCUAGCUACAGGCUAACACAUGCAAGUCGAGGGGCAUCAUGGAGUUGCUUGCAAACUCUGAUGGCGACCGGCGCACGGGUGAGUAACGCGUAUCCAACCUCCCUAUAGUAGAGGAUAGCCCGGCGAAAGUCGGAUUAAUACUCUAUGUUUUCCGUUGCAGACAUCUAAGAUGGAACAAAGGCUUGCCGCUAUAGGAUGGGGAUGCGUCUGAUUAGGUAGUCGGCGGGGUAACGGCCCACCGAGCCAUCGAUCAGUAGGGGUUCUGAGAGGAAGGUCCCCCACAUUGGAACUGAGACACGGUCCAAACUCCUACGGGAGGCAGCAGUGAGGAAUAUUGGUCAAUGGGCGAGAGCCUGAACCAGCCAAGUAGCGUGCAGGAUGACGGCCCUAUGGGUUGUAAACUGCUUUUAUGCGGGGAUAAAGUUCGCUACGUGUAGUGUUUUGUAGGUACCGCAUGAAUAAGGACCGGCUAAUUCCGUGCCAGCAGCUGC
This 500-nucleotide ribosomal RNA is filed under the name uncultured bacterium. RNAcentral describes it as "bacterial SSU rRNA". It matches the Rfam family "Bacterial small subunit ribosomal RNA", at positions 26 to 518 of the family's 1533-position model. The record is from RNAcentral.